GACAGAGGGUGCAAACGUUGUUCGGAAUUACUGGGCGUAAAGCGCGUGUAGGCUGCUCGGAAAGUCGGGUGUGAAAGCCCUGGGCUCAACCUAGGAAGUGCACUCGAAACUUCCGAGCUGGAGUGCUGGAGAGGAAGGCGGAAUUCUCGGUGUAGAGGUGAAAUUCGUAGAUAUCGAGAGGAACACCGGUGGCGAAGGCGGCCUUCUGGACAGCUACUGACGCUGAGACGCGAAAGCGUGGGGAGCAAACAGG
Molecule: ribosomal RNA, 253 nt
Filed under: uncultured bacterium
Lineage: Bacteria
Description: partial 16S ribosomal RNA
Rfam family: Bacterial small subunit ribosomal RNA
Source: RNAcentral